GACGAACGCUGGCGGCGUGCUUAACACAUGCAAGUCGAACGGAAAGGCCCUGCUUUUGUGGGGUGCUCGAGUGGCGAACGGGUGAGUAACACGUGAGUAACCUGCCCUUGACUUUGGGAUAACUUCAGGAAACUGGGGCUAAUACCGGAUAGGAGCUCCUGCUGCAUGGUGGGGGUUGGAAAGUUUCGGCGGUUGGGGCUGGACUCGCGGCUUAUCAGCUUGUUGGUGGGGUAGUGGCUUACCAAGGCUUUGACGGGUAGCCGGCCUGAGAGGGUGACCGGCCACAUUGGGACUGAGAUACGGCCCAGACUCCUACGGGAGGCAGCAGUGGGGAAUAUUGCACAAUGGGCGGAAGCCUGAUGCAGCAACGCCGCGGGCGGGAUGACGGCCUUAGGGUUGUAAACCGCUUUCGCCUGUGACGAAGCGUGAGUGACGGUAAUGUGUAAAGAAGCACCGGCUAACUACGUG
RNAcentral lists this ribosomal RNA (468 nucleotides) under uncultured bacterium. RNAcentral describes it as "partial 16S ribosomal RNA". It matches the Rfam family "Bacterial small subunit ribosomal RNA", at positions 28 to 507 of the family's 1533-position model. The record is from RNAcentral.